RNAcentral lists this ribosomal RNA (253 nucleotides) under uncultured bacterium. RNAcentral describes it as "partial 16S ribosomal RNA". It matches the Rfam family "Bacterial small subunit ribosomal RNA", at positions 524 to 776 of the family's 1533-position model. The record is from RNAcentral.
UACGGAGGGUGCAAGCGUUGUCCGGAUUUAUUGGGUUUAAAGGGUGCGUAGGUGGUUUUUUAAGUCUGGUUUGAAAGCUGGUCGCUUAACGAUCAGAUGUGGCUGGAAACUGAGGAACUUGAAUGCGUUGGCGGUAGCCGGAACGGGUCAUGUAGCGGUGAAAUGCAUAGAUAUGACCCAGAACACCGAUUGCGAAGGCAGGCUACUACGACGUGAUUGACACUGAGGCACGAGAGCAUGGGUAGCGAACAGG